GAUGAACGCUAGCGAUAGGCUUAACACAUGCAAGUCGAGGGGCAGCAUGGUCUUAGCUUGCUCAGGCUGAUGGCGACCGGCGCACGGGUGCGUAACGCGUAUGCAACUUGCCUCACAGAGGGGGAUAACCCGUCGAAAGACGGACUAAUACCGCGUACACUCUAUGUUGGGCAUCCAAUGUAGAGGAAAUGAAAUUCGCUGUGAGAUAGGCAUGCGUCCCAUUAGCUAGUUGGUGAGGUAACGGCUCACCAAGGCGACGAUGGGUAGGGGAACUGAGAGGUUGAACCCCCACACUGGUACUGAGACACGGACCAGACUCCUACGGGAGGCAGCAGUGAGGAAUAGUGGUCAAUGGGCGAGAGCCUGAACCAGCCAAGUCGCGUGAAGGAUGACUGUCUUAUGGAUUGUAAACUUCUUUUAGACGGGAAGAACAAGAGUCACGUGUGGCUCCCUGCAUGUACCGUAUGAAUAAGCAUCGGCUAACUCCGUG
Molecule: ribosomal RNA, 490 nt
Filed under: uncultured bacterium
Lineage: Bacteria
Description: partial 16S ribosomal RNA
Rfam family: Bacterial small subunit ribosomal RNA
Source: RNAcentral